Herpailurus yagouaroundi (jaguarundi) is the source of this 1230-nucleotide long non-coding RNA. RefSeq lists it as uncharacterized. Lineage: Eukaryota; Metazoa; Chordata; Mammalia; Carnivora; Felidae. The transcript is spliced from 3 exons. The record is from RefSeq and is a predicted model, not a curated record.
GUGGGAAGGGGAGGGGGAGCAGCGCGGGCGGAAGCGGCCAGGAAGGUCACUUCCGGCCUGGGCGCCCGUCCCCCUGACCCCAGGGUCUGAGUCGCCGCUGCCGCCGCUGCCACCAUCCGCGAGGGAGCAGAGAGGAGGAGUGCGGCGCGGCGGCCCCGGGACCGAGGAGGGACCCAGACAUGGAGCUUCGGGAAGAGGCCUGGUCUCCGGGGCCGCUGGAUUCCGAGGACCAGCAGAUGGCCAGUCAUGAGAACCCAGGAAUCGUAAUUGGCAAUGGUGGGAUCUCUCUCCGAUUCUGGGCCUGGCGUCCAGGUCUCUGGCCCGCACUGAGGCAGCUACUUGCUCCUCGGUGGUUAUCUCGAAACUAACAAACUAACGUGGGGUCAGCAAGUAAGUAACUCUGGGGCAUUCAGAUUCUCUCCUCCCCUUUGAAGAGGGGAGAUGCAGAGAUCACAGAGAAGACUCUAGAAAAACCUGUAGGUCCGGAUUUGUCUGGGAAGUGUCAGUGUGAACUCAGAGGAAUUUUAUUGUAAGGAAAGAAAACAAACAGUGAUCCUCUCCUGAUUUCGGUCUUGAAGUAUUUUCCGCCAAAAGAGCCCAGGGCCUCCUGGAGAAACAGCGCGUUUCACGUCCGGGUGGGACACGUAGAUGAGCCUGGAACGUCUCAGGCUGGGUAGCAGGGAAGCUGCCGGAAGACCACCUGGGCCCCGUCCGGGGGGUGUGGAGCCCCCUCAACUUGCUGUGGAUGGGACACUGGGAGGUCCGCUAGCUGUGAUGAUGGCAGUGGAGUGAGACCCACCGUAUACGUUUACAUCCAGGAGUUCAUGGCGACGUUGAGAAAGGGAGCUCUGUUCUGCACACUCAGUGAGUCGGGCCACCUGAGUGUUGAGCGCCGGUGGCUGCUGACCGCGCAGACAGGCACUGUGGACGCCGAUGGCACGGACAGACAGGCAUGGCGGACAGACAUCGUGUACCUUUGAGGCGGGGGCAGGGUCUUCAGACAGCAGGUCUGGGGACGGAGUCACCUGCUGAACCGCAUGCAGCCCGCGCUCUUGAACAGCAAGGCUGUGAGCAAAAGCAAGACACAGGAGAGUCUGGAUUGAAAGAGACUCUCAGACACUCUGAACUGAAAAGUAACGGACCACAGGGACGCCUGGGUGGCUCAGUCGGUUGAGUGUCCGACUUCAGCUCAGGUCAUGAUGUCGCCAUCUGUGAGUUCAAGCCCCGUGU